RNAcentral lists this ribosomal RNA (252 nucleotides) under uncultured Bacteroidales bacterium. RNAcentral describes it as "partial 16S ribosomal RNA". It matches the Rfam family "Bacterial small subunit ribosomal RNA", at positions 524 to 776 of the family's 1533-position model. Lineage: Bacteria; Pseudomonadati; Bacteroidota; Bacteroidia; Bacteroidales. The record is from RNAcentral.
UACGGAGGAUGCGAGCGUUAUCCGGAUUUAUUGGGUUUAAAGGGUGCGCAGGCGGGCUGUUAAGCCGGCGGUAAAAAUUCAGGGCUCAACCCUAUCGAGCCGUCGGAACUGGCAGUCUUGAGUGGGCGAGAAGUAUGCGGAAUGCGUGGUGUAGCGGUGAAAUGCAUAGAUAUCAGGAGGAACACCAGUGGCGAAGGCGGCCACCUGGACCGGUAUUGACGCUGAGGCGCGAAAGCGUGGGGAGCAAACAGG